This 1999-nucleotide long non-coding RNA is filed under the name Homo sapiens (human). RNAcentral's name for it is "non-protein coding lnc-XPC-1:1". Lineage: Eukaryota; Metazoa; Chordata; Mammalia; Primates; Hominidae. The record is from RNAcentral.
CUUGAUCUAGCCAGGAUGACUCCUGGAACUUUUAUUAAUUUUCUACAUUGAACACAGCUGAGCAUUACUCACAUCUGACAUCUGUUCAAACAAUAACAUUUCUCCCCUCCUGGCAGCAGGCUAAAAGCAAUAUGGGUAAUAGCUAAGUAUUAUUUGAGACAGGGUCUUGUUAUGUUGCUCAGGCUGAUCUCGAACUCCUGGGCUCAAGUAAUCCUCCCGCCUCAGUCUCCUUAGUGGUUGAGUCCCAGCUCCAAAAGGACUCACACAUUGCCUCCCCUCCCUCCAUUUCCUGACACAUAGGUGGCUAUUCUGCAGUUAACCUUUUAUUGUCCCUCCCCUUGUAUCUUAGCAGCUAGGAAAUGAAGUAGGUUGGUAUGUUUUAGUUGUGUGUGCAUAUGAGAGUAACAGUGUCAGAUAUUAAGGUUCAUGGGUUUUAGAAAUGUGUAUAAUCAAGUCCUCACAGCCAAAAGUUUUAGUGUAAACUAUCAGUUCCAGGAGAAAAAGGAGAAAGAUAACUAAGAAUGAAGAGAAGAAAGUGUCCAGGAAUUCAGUGUGACUAUCAGAAACCACUAAAAAUGAAUGCAGUGCUGGGGAGAACUGCAGACUGGCAGAGCGAGGCCAGAUGGCCUGUCACCCCACGCCUUAGUGAACACCAGGAGCCAACAGACUGCCCAGAGCCAGGGCCUUGGUACCACACCCACACCACAGGCUCACACAGGUAGGAGGCAGGCAGGUUCAAUCUUGCUGCCACAUACUAAUGACCACAGGCGGCCUGAGGUCUUUGAGGUUGUUUCUUCUAACAUUCUGCAGGAGGGAGUUCAUUUUUCAAUACUGAAUGGGCUGCUGUAAACAGGUUAUCUCCUGGGACCACUACAGCUUAAGGACAAAGCGUGGGGAUGGCACAAGUGAAGGGAGGGUGUCUCUCCUGCCUCCUCACCUAAGAUGAAGCCUCCAUCAGCUCACCCACACUUGUUUUUCUCUUCUCCAUGAACUUGCAGGGGCAUGUACCAUUAGUAAGGAAAAUAAAACCUUUUAAAUAUGUUUACUGAAAGCAUCUUUCUUGCACAAGGCUUAAAGUACUGUGCAUUUGUGAGCAUAUCGUGCUUGAUAAUGAACACGCACACACAUUCAGCUCAUUUACAGACAAACCAUCCACAAGUUGGAUUUUCUACAUUUCAAAAUGGAAUGACCAUAGCGGAGGAUGUCAGGUUCUAAGCCCUGUCUUGAUAAAGUUUGAGAGAUUGUAACACGCUUUUACUUUCCUCUUUAGGUUUUAAGCAUUAUGUGCUGACUGAAGCUAGAAAUAAAAACAGCUUUGCUUUCAGCCAAUUUCUGCUUUACUGUGUCACUGAGACAUGUUGUUUGAGACCCCUCAUCAUUAAUGGCCAAUGAUCCAAGAGUGGAAAAAUGGUCUGAGUCAUAAUUAUAAACAGGUUAUGAUCAAGCUGAACGUCUGACCUUAGAAUUAAAUCAGGCCAGAGAAAAGAGAAAUCAUGCUUUGCUCUGUCUUCUACUGCAGGGUUGAUGUUUACAAUGUCCCUCUGCCCCUUUCUCCCAUAUUUGGGUGCUCUUCCCCAUGCUCCUAUGGCAUCCUGCAUGUGCAUGAUUCUAUCAGCACUAAUCUUACUGCCUGCAAUUGUUGGUUUAAACAUCUGCCUCCCCAGAAGACUUGAGGGCAGAAAACUUUUUUUUUUUUUUUUUUGACACGGAGUCUCGCUCUGUUGACCAGGUUGAAGUGCAAUGGUGUGAUCUUGGCUCACUGCAACCUCUGCCUCCUGGGUUCAAGCGUCUACUGCCUCAGCCUCCUGAGUAGCUGGGAUUACAAGUAUGCGCCACCACGCCUGGCUAAUUUUUAUAUUUUCAGUAGAGAAAGGGUUUCACCAUGUUGGCCAGGCUGGUCUCAAACGCCUGACCUCAGGUGAUCCACCCACCUUGGCCUCCCAAAGUGCUGGGAUUACAGGCAUGAGCCACCAUGUCUGGCCCAGAAAGCAUUUUGAUA